GACGAACGCUGGCGGCGUGCCUAAUACAUGCAAGUCGAGCGAAGUUUUUCUGGUGCUUUCACUAGAAAAACUUAGCGGCGAACGGGUGAGUAACACGUAAAGAACCUGCCUCUUAGACUGGGACUACUAUAGGGAACGAUAGCUAAUUCCGGAUAACAGUAUUUCUCGCAUGAGAGAUAUUUAUAAGUUGUUUAUGCUAACACUAUGAGAUGGCUUUGCGGUGUAUUAGCUAGUUGGUGGGGUAAAGGCCCACCAAGGCGACGAUGCAUAGCCGACCUGAGAGGGUGAUCGGCCACACUGGGACUGAGACACGGCCCAGACUCCUACGGGAGGCAGCAGUAGGGAAUCUUACGCAAUGGGCGAAAGCCUGACGCAGCAACGCCGCGUGAGUGAAGAAGGAUUUCGGUUCGUAAAGCUCUGUUGUUAGGGAAGAAUGGAUAUGUAGUAACUAUACAUGUAAGAGACGGUACCUAACCAGAAAGCCACGGCUAACUACGUG
This 499-nucleotide ribosomal RNA is filed under the name uncultured bacterium. Its description in RNAcentral is "partial 16S ribosomal RNA". It matches the Rfam family "Bacterial small subunit ribosomal RNA", at positions 28 to 507 of the family's 1533-position model. The record is from RNAcentral.